GCUAGCCUCCAGCUAACACAAUGGCGUAUUAUGCCGAUCUGAUGAAUCCAGCCGUCAUGUUCGCCGCCAAUGGAUUAGUUCCAAAUCACCCUUCGUAUUAUACCAACUAUGGCGCUCAAGCUCCACCUCAUAAUGGAGAUCCAGGUUAUGCUACUCCUCCUCCUUCAUCUUGUGGAUACUAUAACCCUAAUUAUCCAUCACCGGGCGGUCCUGGUUCACCUGCUCAUGCGCCAUAUGGCUAUUCCGCUCCUCCUCCAUCUUAUAAUAAUGGAUACUAUGACCAUCCAUUCUAUCAGGCGCCUGUUCGACGUCCUAGUAAACCCAGGGCUCCUAGUAAGCCCAAGGCUUGCACUCG
RNAcentral lists this long non-coding RNA (355 nucleotides) under Rosa chinensis. RNAcentral describes it as "sRNA RchiOBHm_Chr4g0424651". Lineage: Eukaryota; Viridiplantae; Streptophyta; Magnoliopsida; Rosales; Rosaceae. The record is from RNAcentral.